UCUGGUAAUAAUGGCGAGAAUGUCACACCCGUUCCCAUACCGAACACGGAAGUUAAGCUUCUCAGCGCCGAUGGUAGUUGGGACUUUGUCCCUGUGAGAGUAGGACGUUGCCAGGC
RNAcentral lists this ribosomal RNA (116 nucleotides) under Neobacillus cucumis. Lineage: Bacteria; Bacillati; Bacillota; Bacilli; Caryophanales; Bacillaceae. The record is from RNAcentral.